Molecule: ribosomal RNA, 277 nt
Filed under: uncultured bacterium
Lineage: Bacteria
Description: partial 16S ribosomal RNA
Rfam family: Bacterial small subunit ribosomal RNA
Source: RNAcentral
UUUUCCUACGGGGGGCAGCAGUGAGGAAUAUUGGUCAAUGGGCGAGAGCCUGAACCAGCCAAGUCGCGUGAAGGAUGACGGCCCUACGGGUUGUAAACUUCUUUUGUCAGGGAGCAAUUGGGUCCACGCGUGGGCUUAGCGAGAGUACCUGAAGAAAAAGCAUCGGCUAACUCCGUGCCAGCAGCCGCGGUAAUACGGAGGUGGCAAGCGUUGUCCGGAUUUAUUGGGCGUAAAGCGAGUGCAGGCGGGUCAAUAAGGCUGAUGUGAAAGCCUUCGG